AUGUUGAGCUUAAUGAUGGCUCUGAUUGAACGCUGAGCAAAUGCUUGACACAUGCUAAUCGUACGACAAACAUUUAUUAUUAGUAAUAGUUUGUAGUGGUGUACAGGUGAGUAAAUGGUAUUAGUGCUACCUUUAAGUAAGGGAUAAAAUAUCUUAUAAUAAUUGUCUAUUAAUUGAAAGAAGUAUUAUACUUCGCUUUUAGAUGCCUUUUACCUCGGGAAAGUAGUAGUUAGAGUAAUUAUCUAACCAGCGUGAGCCCGUAAUCGAAACUGAGAGGUUGAUCGAUCACAUUGGGUAUGAGAAACCCCCAAUACGUACAGUACAGCAGUGAGGAAUAUUGGUCAAUAGCCUAACGGCUGAACCAGCAAUUUGCGAGAACGAAAAAAGAGGUCUAACCUCAUAAAGUUCUAAAUAGUUAAUUGAUUAUGACAGUUUCUAUUAAAAGGUCUUGACAAAAACACGUGCCAGCAGUCGCGGUAAGACGGGAAAGACUAGUGUUAAUCAUCUUUAAUGGGUUUAAAGGGUACCUAGACGGCCAAUAUAGUCUAUUAAGGUACGUAUUGUGCUAGAGUUUUAUAUAAAAGGAUAUAAAGUAUUAACGAAGUAGAGAUAGAAUUUGUUAAUAUCGUUAAGAACGGGUAACGGCGAAGGCAAUCCUUUAGGUAAAAACUGACGUUGAGGGACGAAGGCUUGGGUAACGAAUAGGAUUAGAUACCCUAAUAGUCCAAGCAGACAACGCUGAGUGUCAUAGGUUAGGAAAAUCUUUGAUCUAUAAAUGAAAGUGUAAGCACUCCACCUCAAGAGUAAUGUGGCAACGCAGAAACUGAAAUCAUUAGACCGUUUCUGAGACCAGUAGUGAAGUAUGUUAUUUAAUUUGAUAACACGCAAAAAACCUUACCACAGCUUGAACACAAAGGCGUAACUAGCCUAUCACAGGUGCUGCAUGGCUGUCUUCAGUUAAUGUCGUGAGACAUAGGUUAGCUCCAUAAAAUUAACGAAAACCCUUACUUUAUUUAUUUUUAUAAAGUAGUUCUCCAAUAUAUUGGAAUGAUAAAAGGGAUCAAGACAAGUAAUCACGGCCCUAAUGCUGUGGGCUAUAGACGUGCCACCUUCGCCUAGACAAAGGGAUGCUUAUACGUGAGUAUUAAAACUAAUCCCACAAAAUAGGCUAAAACAUGGAUUGCAGCCUGAAACUCGGCUGCAUGAAAACGAAAUUACUAGUAAUCGUGAAUCACCACCGUCACGGUGAAUUUUAUCUCAGAAAGGUACUAACCACUCGUCAAACGCUGAAAAAAGUACAUGCAAUAAGUUUGGUUGCUGCUAAUUUGUAAAAGAGAAGAGAUCUCCACAUUUUGGUAAAUGAUCUUCGAAUGCAUGACUUUGAUUAGUGUUAAGUCGAAAUAAGGUUCGUGUAGUGGAAAUUGCACGGGAAUUAUGAAACAUUAAAAAUAAAAAAAAAA
This 1460-nucleotide ribosomal RNA is filed under the name Arthonia cupressina. RNAcentral describes it as "SSU rRNA". It matches the Rfam family "Bacterial small subunit ribosomal RNA". Lineage: Eukaryota; Fungi; Ascomycota; Arthoniomycetes; Arthoniales; Arthoniaceae. The record is from RNAcentral.